UACGGAGGAUCCAAGCGUUAUCCGGAUUUAUUGGGUUUAAAGGGUGCGUAGGCGGCCUGUUAAGUCAGGGGUGAAAGACGGUAGCUCAACUAUCGCAGUGCCCUUGAUACUGAUGGGCUUGAAUUGACUAGAGGUAGACGGAAUGUGACAAGUAGCGGUGAAAUGCAUAGAUAUGUCACAGAACACCGAUUGCGAAGGCAGCUUACUAUGGUCUUAUUGACGCUGAGGCACGAAAGCGUGGGGAUCAAACAGG
RNAcentral lists this ribosomal RNA (253 nucleotides) under uncultured bacterium. Its description in RNAcentral is "partial 16S ribosomal RNA". It matches the Rfam family "Bacterial small subunit ribosomal RNA", at positions 524 to 776 of the family's 1533-position model. The record is from RNAcentral.